UACGGAGGGUGCGAGCGUUGUUCGGAAUCACUGGGCGUAAAGCGCGUGUAGGCGGCCUUUUAAGUUCGAUGUGAAAGCCCGGGGCUCACCCCCGGAAGUGCAUUGGAUACUGGGAGGCUGGAGUACCGGAGAGGAGGGUGGAAUUCCUGGUGUAGCGGUGAAAUGCGUAGAUAUCAGGAGGAACACCUGUGGCGAAGGCGGCCCUCUGGACGGAUACUGACGCUGAGACGCGAAAGCGUGGGGAGCAAACAGG
This 253-nucleotide ribosomal RNA is filed under the name uncultured bacterium. Its description in RNAcentral is "partial 16S ribosomal RNA". It matches the Rfam family "Bacterial small subunit ribosomal RNA", at positions 524 to 776 of the family's 1533-position model. The record is from RNAcentral.